This is a microRNA precursor of Sorghum bicolor (sorghum), 109 nucleotides long. It matches the Rfam family "MIR5565 microRNA precursor family". The record is from Rfam. NCBI's taxonomy places the organism in Eukaryota, Viridiplantae, Streptophyta, Magnoliopsida, Poales, Poaceae.
GUAGUCUGAUUUACAUCAAUCCACAUGUGUUGGGGUGGGUUAGAGUGAGAAUUGAACUAAAUUCUACCCUAAUCCACUCUAACACACGUGGACUGAGGUGAAUCCGACA